AUUGAACGCCGGCGGCAUGCCUUACACAUGCAAGUCGAACGGCAGCAUGAUCUAGCUUGCUAGAUUGAUGGCGAGUGGCGAACGGGUGAGUAAUACAUCGGAACGUGCCCUGUAGUGGGGGAUAACUAGUCGAAAGAUUAGCUAAUACCGCAUACGACCUGAGGGUGAAAGUGGGGGACCGCAAGGCCUCAUGCUAUAGGAGCGGCCGAUGUCUGAUUAGCUAGUUGGUGAGGUAAAGGCUCACCAAGGCGACGAUCAGUAGCUGGUCUGAGAGGACGAUCAGCCACACUGGGACUGAGACACGGCCCAGACUCCUACGGGAGGCAGCAGUGGGGAAUUUUGGACAAUGGGGGCAACCCUGAUCCAGCAAUGCCGCGUGUGUGAAGAAGGCCUUCGGGUUGUAAAGCACUUUUGUCCCGGAAAGAAAUCGCACUUACUAAUAUUUAGGUGUGGAUGACGGUACCGGAAGAAUAAGG
Molecule: ribosomal RNA, 476 nt
Filed under: Burkholderia sp. oral taxon 406
Lineage: Bacteria; Pseudomonadati; Pseudomonadota; Betaproteobacteria; Burkholderiales; Burkholderiaceae
Description: bacterial SSU rRNA
Rfam family: Bacterial small subunit ribosomal RNA
Source: RNAcentral